Molecule: ribosomal RNA, 405 nt
Filed under: uncultured bacterium
Lineage: Bacteria
Description: partial 16S ribosomal RNA
Rfam family: Bacterial small subunit ribosomal RNA
Source: RNAcentral
AUUGAACGCUGGCGGCAGGCUUAACACAUGCAAGUCGAACGAGUGGCGGACGGGUGAGUAAUGCUUGGGAAUCUGGCUUAUGGAGGGGGAUAACGACGGGAAACUGUCGCUAAUACCGCGUACCAUAGGAUGAGCCCAAGUGGGAUUAGGUAGUUGGUGGGGUAAUGGCCUACCAAGCCGACGAUCCCUAGCUGGUCUGGGAGGAUGACCAGCCACAGCGGGAAUGAGACAGGGCCCGUACUCCUACGGGAGGCAGCAGUGGGGAAUAGUGCGCAAUGGGGGGAACCUGACGCAGCCAUGGCGCGUGAGUGAAGAAGGCUUUCGGGUUGUAAAGUUCUUUCGGUGACGAGGCGUUAAUCACCGAAGAAGCACCGGCUAACUCCGUGCCAGCGGCCGCGGUAAUAC